RNAcentral lists this ribosomal RNA (447 nucleotides) under uncultured bacterium. RNAcentral describes it as "bacterial SSU rRNA". It matches the Rfam family "Bacterial small subunit ribosomal RNA", at positions 355 to 822 of the family's 1533-position model. The record is from RNAcentral.
UCAAGAAACUUCCACAAUGGGCGAAAGCCUGAUGGAGCGACGUCGCGUGAUGGACGAAGUGCUUCGGCACGUAAACAUCUUUUAUGUGGGAUGAAAUUAUUGACAGUACCACAUGAAUAAGGGGCUCCUAACUCUGUGCCAGCAGGAGCGGUAAUACAGAGGCCCCAAGCGUUAUCCGGAAUCACUGGGCGUAAAGGGUGUCGAGGCGGUUGUAUUAGUCGUUCGUAAAAUCUACGAGCUUAACUUGUAGGCGGCGAACGAAACGGUACGACUUGAGGUUUGGAGAGGUGCGUGGAACUCACGGUGUAGGGGUGAAAUCCGUUGAUAUCGUGGGGAACACCAAAGGCGAAGGCAGCGCACUGGCCAAAAUCUGACGCUCACACACGAAAGCUAGGGUAGCGAAGAGGAUUAGAUACCCAGGUAGUCCCUGAGCGGGCUGGCAAGGCG